Long non-coding RNA from Drosophila mojavensis, 362 nucleotides. RefSeq lists it as uncharacterized. The record is from RefSeq and is a predicted model, not a curated record. The transcript is spliced from 3 exons. NCBI's taxonomy places the organism in Eukaryota, Metazoa, Arthropoda, Insecta, Diptera, Drosophilidae.
AUAUAUACAUACAUAUGAAGUGAGUUGUAUCCAUACAAAUGCGCAUACAUGUGCACAACCAACUUUCGUUGCAGUUACUGAGAGGAUCCACACAUACACACAUACUCUCACACCAACUAAUGGCUAUGUUGAGUGAUUAUUGAGCUUUAUUGUCGUCAGUUGUUUUCAGUUGUUCGGGAAUUUCAGUUUGAUCAUAGAUGAUGCGCACAAUAUCUUGGAGUUGCAUACAUAUCAAUAAACAUAGAGAAUGUCUUCACUUAAGGCUAAUAUGAGGUGGUACUGGAUUAUUUUUAUUUUGCUUUAUAACAUACUAACUAUAAAAUUCUAUAAACGUUCUUAAAAAGAUGAGAUAUACAUAUAUC